GACUGACUGCAAGCCGCCUCUCUCUGGAUUACCCCCACAGGAGAUAUGAACAAAUGUCUGUUCAUCCCAGAUGAGGCACCACCAGCAGAUUCCACCAUUUCCAAGUCCAUCUUGGUGAACCAAUGAAUUUACUGGGUUCGCUUACGGGAGCAUGUGGGAGGCACCUCUUGGGACCAUAUACAACUGGGGAAGGCUUCCAUGCAGAUCAAAGUGGGGUGCAGGAAGAAACCUGUUAACUCACUCUGGCACCUCUUCUCUAGGGGAACAUCAACAGGACAGAAACUUGAGAGGAAGUUCGUUGUGGCUCACAGUUCAAGGAUGCAGUCCACCAUG
This is a long non-coding RNA of Peromyscus leucopus (white-footed mouse), 333 nucleotides long. RefSeq lists it as uncharacterized. The transcript has 3 exons. The record is from RefSeq and is a predicted model, not a curated record. Lineage: Eukaryota; Metazoa; Chordata; Mammalia; Rodentia; Cricetidae.